This 85-nucleotide non-coding RNA is filed under the name bovine gut metagenome. RNAcentral describes it as "S10-Clostridia ribosomal protein leader". It matches the Rfam family "S10-Clostridia ribosomal protein leader". The record is from RNAcentral.
UGAUAGCGAUGAAGCGUGAGGUUGCUGCACAUUCAGGUUGCAGGUUUUCCGUGGAGCGAAUGUCAUGUAAUGAUACUGGCGACAA